This 72-nucleotide transfer RNA is filed under the name bacterium. RNAcentral describes it as "tRNA-His". It matches the Rfam family "tRNA". From Rfam's summary of the family: Transfer RNA (tRNA) molecules are approximately 80 nucleotides in length. The record is from RNAcentral.
GUGCCUAUAGUGUAAUGGUUAGCACAGGACCCUGUGGAGGUCCUGGUUCGAGUUCAAAUCUCGAUAGGCACC